AUCAAGCUGUGUAGACCCUUAGAAGCUUGUCAUGUGGUUAAAUCAAGAUUCACUUGCACGUUCACUCAUAUAUGCUACUUCUACUCCGGAAGUACCAUCCACAUAUAUCCAUUUCCAUCUCCAGAAUCACCUAAAAAUAUUCUACUCCUAAUCCGGGAGAGAAUAACCAAAAAUAUUUCUAUUUUUCCCUUGUGAAAUAAAUGCUCAAGUUAUCUUGUUACUACCACUUGCUAUACUAUCUCAAGAGAUGAGUGCUCUAAAAAAAGAAAGAGAAUAUACGAGGAAAUAAAAAGGGGCAAGUGCCCGGGACCUCAAAAGAAAAGAAAAAGUGAGACGAGAGGUAAAAAUAGACAAGUGUCCGACAAUAAAAUUAGGAGUACAAGAUACCCACCUGAGAGAAAAGAAAAAGAAGAGCAUCUCAUUCUCCUCAUAAAGUUUCAAAAAUCAAGAAAGGUAUGUAUCCCCUCAAAGAGCAAAGUAGAAUUAGACUUCCACCAUUGUUAUCACCAUCAUCACCAUACACCAUUCAUUCGCCACACAUGCACAUCUUGAUUUGGCUUAUUGAUUUGUUUCUUUGGAUCCAUGGUUUGACUAUGCAAUAAAUGUCUUGUAAGUAUGUAUACUUUAUCUCCCACCUAUGAGCUCCAGAUAUAAAAGCCUUAUUAGAGUAGGGUGAGAGAGAAGACAAUGCCACUAUGCUUCAUACCACAAAUACCACAUACAUUUUGAGAGAAGGCAUAUACCAUCACUGCCUUGGUAAGGAUCCAGAAAUACCAC
Molecule: long non-coding RNA, 777 nt
Filed under: Sorghum bicolor (sorghum)
Lineage: Eukaryota; Viridiplantae; Streptophyta; Magnoliopsida; Poales; Poaceae
Description: long non-coding RNA (SBIC_LNC011140)
Source: RNAcentral